UACAGAGGUCUCGAGCGUUAGGCGGAAUCACUGGGCUUAAAGCGUGUGUAGGCGGAUCGUUAAGUACCUUGUGAAAUCCCACGGCUUAACCGUGGAACUGCUUGGUAUACUGGCGGUCUUGAGCCAGCUAGGGCUACCGGAACAAAUGGUGGAGCGGUGAAAUGCGUAGAUAUCAUUUGGAACGCCAAUGGUGAAAACAGGUAGCUGGGGCUGUGCUGACGCUGAGACACGAAAGCCAGGGGAGCAAACGGG
Molecule: ribosomal RNA, 252 nt
Filed under: uncultured bacterium
Lineage: Bacteria
Description: partial 16S ribosomal RNA
Rfam family: Bacterial small subunit ribosomal RNA
Source: RNAcentral